AGGCGCGUAGCUCAGUGGGAGAGUGCUUCCUUGACGCGGAAGAAGUCGAGGGUUCGAUACCCUCCGCGCCUACCA
RNAcentral lists this transfer RNA (75 nucleotides) under Candidatus Aminicenantota bacterium. RNAcentral's name for it is "Candidatus Aminicenantes bacterium tRNA-Val". It matches the Rfam family "tRNA". From Rfam's summary of the family: Transfer RNA (tRNA) molecules are approximately 80 nucleotides in length. Their secondary structure includes four short double-helical elements and three loops (D, anti-codon, and T loops). Further hydrogen bonds mediate the characteristic L-shaped molecular structure. tRNAs have two regions of fundamental functional importance: the anti-codon, which is responsible for specific mRNA codon recognition, and the 3' end, to which the tRNAs corresponding amino acid is attached (by aminoacyl-tRNA synthetases). tRNAs cope with the degeneracy of the genetic code in two manners: having more than one tRNA (with a specific anti-codon) for a particular amino acid; and 'wobble' base-pairing, i.e. permitting non-standard base-pairing at the 3rd anti-codon position. The record is from RNAcentral. RNAcentral also lists the same sequence under 1 other name. Lineage: Bacteria; Candidatus Aminicenantota.